CAGUAGCCGCGGUAAUACGAAGGGGGCUAGCGUUGUUCGGAAUUACUGGGCGUAAAGCGCACGCAGGCGGCUCGAUAAAUUAGAAGUGAAAGCCUUGGGCUUAACCUGAGAAUUGCUUUUAAGACUGUCGAGCUAGAAUCCAGAAGAGGGUAGUGGAAUUCCGAGUGUAGAGGUGAAAUUCGUAGAUAUUCGGAAGAACACCAGUGGCGAAGGCGACUACCUGGUCUGGCAUUGACGCUCAUGUGCGAAAGCGUGGGGAGCAAACAGGAUUAGAGACCCCUGUAGUCCCUGUCUCUUAUAC
This 301-nucleotide ribosomal RNA is filed under the name uncultured bacterium. RNAcentral's name for it is "partial 16S ribosomal RNA". It matches the Rfam family "Bacterial small subunit ribosomal RNA", at positions 509 to 807 of the family's 1533-position model. The record is from RNAcentral.